UGCAACUCGACUGCGUGAAGUCGGAAUCGCUAGUAAUCGUGAAUCAGAAUGUCACGGUGAAUACGUUCCCGGGCCUUGUACACACCGCCCGUCACACCAUGGGAGUGGGUUGCUCCAGAAGUAGCUAGUCUAACCUUCGGGGGGACGGUUACCACGGAGUGAUUCAUGACUGGGGUGAAGUCGUAACAAGGUAGCCGUAGGGGAACCUGCGGCUG
RNAcentral lists this ribosomal RNA (215 nucleotides) under Stutzerimonas stutzeri. Its description in RNAcentral is "Pseudomonas stutzeri partial 16S ribosomal RNA". It matches the Rfam family "Bacterial small subunit ribosomal RNA", at positions 1306 to 1520 of the family's 1533-position model. The record is from RNAcentral. Lineage: Bacteria; Pseudomonadati; Pseudomonadota; Gammaproteobacteria; Pseudomonadales; Pseudomonadaceae.